GAUGAACGCUGGCGGCGUGCUUAACACAUGCAAGUCGAACGAUGCACUUUAUUUGAUUUCCUUCGGGACUGAUUAUUUUGUGACUGAGUGGCGGACGUGUGAGUAACGCGUGGGUAACCUGCCUUGUACAGGGGGAUAACAGUUUGAAACGGCUGCUAAUACCGCAUAAGCGCCCAGCAUCGCAUGAUGCAGUGUGAAAAACUCCGGUGGUAUAAGGUGGACCCGCGGUGGAUUAGCUAGUUGGUGAGGUAACGGCUCACCAAGACGACGAUCCGUAGCCGGGCGGAGAGGAGAAGCAGCCACACUGGGACGGAGACACGGCCCAGACUCGUACGGGAGGAAGAAGUGGGGAAUUGUGGACAAUGGGCGCAAGCCUGAUCCAGCCAUGCCGCGUGCAGGAUGAAGGCCUUCGGGUUGUAAACGGCUUUUGUACGGAACGAAAAGCCUUCGUUUAAUACAGGAGGGUCAUGACGGUACCGUAAGAAUAAGCACCGGCUAACUACGUG
RNAcentral lists this ribosomal RNA (506 nucleotides) under uncultured bacterium. RNAcentral describes it as "partial 16S ribosomal RNA". It matches the Rfam family "Bacterial small subunit ribosomal RNA", at positions 28 to 507 of the family's 1533-position model. The record is from RNAcentral.